UAAGGAAUAUUGGUCAAUGGACGCAAGUCUGAACCAGCCAUGCCGCGUGGAGGAUGAAGGUCCUCUGGAUUGUAAACUUCUUUUAUCUGAGAAGAAACCCUUGUAUUCUUACGAGGUUGACGGUACCAGAUGAAUAAGCACCGGCUAACUCCGUGCCAGCAGCCGCGGUAAUACGGAGGGUGCAAGCGUUAUCCGGAUUCACUGGGUUUAAAGGGUGCGUAGGUGGGCUGGUAAGUCCGUGGUGAAAUCUCCAAGCUUAACUUGGAAACUGCCGUGGAUACUAUUAGUCUUGAAUCUCGUGGAGGUAAGCGGAAUAUGUCAUGUAGCGGUGAAAUGCUUAGAUAUGACAUAGAACACCGAUAGCGAAGGCAGCUUGCUACACGAGUAUUGACACUGAGGCACGAAAGCGUGGGGAUCAAACAG
RNAcentral lists this ribosomal RNA (423 nucleotides) under uncultured bacterium. RNAcentral describes it as "bacterial SSU rRNA". It matches the Rfam family "Bacterial small subunit ribosomal RNA", at positions 355 to 775 of the family's 1533-position model. The record is from RNAcentral.